RNAcentral lists this small nuclear RNA (286 nucleotides) under Octodon degus (degu). Its description in RNAcentral is "7SK RNA (ENSODEG00000022975.1)". It matches the Rfam family "7SK RNA". From Rfam's summary of the family: 7SK was discovered as an abundant small nuclear RNA in the mid-70s but a possible function has only recently been suggested. Two independent studies have found that 7SK RNA binds the CDK9/cyclin T complex (known as elongation factor P-TEFb). P-TEFb activates transcription by phosphorylating the C-terminal domain of RNA polymerase II. The record is from RNAcentral. Lineage: Eukaryota; Metazoa; Chordata; Mammalia; Rodentia; Octodontidae.
GGAUGUUACAGUGAUCUGACUGGGACAUCUGUCACCCCCAGAUCACCAGUUGACUUGGCUAAUAGGCUGGAUAGCCAGGUGUCCCCUUCCUCUCAGCUCUGUAUGUGUCCCUCUGGAAGCGGUGCACUUGGCAGAAGAGGAUAACCACCACCAUCGGGAGAAGCACUGCCUUGGUCGAGGAAAACAAGUAGCGGCACUGUCCUGCCAGAACCUGCAGUCAGGCUCUUUUGCUUUUUUAUUUAGAGAUAAGGUCUCACCAAGUCACUAAAUUGCCUGGGCUAGCUUU